This is a non-coding RNA of Camellia sinensis, 2008 nucleotides long. NCBI's taxonomy places the organism in Eukaryota, Viridiplantae, Streptophyta, Magnoliopsida, Ericales, Theaceae. The record is from RefSeq and is a predicted model, not a curated record.
GUCCUUUAUUUAUACUCCAAUUCCAAGAAAAAAGAAGGCACAGUUUGGGUUCGUAUUUCUCUCUUCACAAUGUGUCUUUCGUCUCUCUCAAAACGUUUUCUGUCCUCUUUUAUUAUCUGUCUCUUUCAUAUGUGCAUCUCUUUCCUUCCCUCUUUCCCCUCUUUCAUGGUGGCUAACGAUGGCCUUUACGGACGUAGUGUGGGUGAUGGCGGUGGCUGUGAGUAGCGGUGGUUAUGGUGGUCGGCGGCAUGAAGAAUUAUUUCUCAGAGUUGGACUCAGAGCUACAUAUGUUUGGUUUUGAAUUUGAAUUUGAAGUUGAAUUUGAAGAGUUAGCUUACCAUUAUGCCAUGGAAGGAAAACUCAUUGAGUUGGCUAUGUUGCUGAUUGUUGCUUGAGAAGACGUUUUGGUUCGCAUCACUUUUCAUGGAAAAGAUGGUGCUGGUUUAAAUGGCAAGUACGACAAUCCAUGAAUGCAUUAAAAAUCAUUUUGUCUAUCUAAUUAACGAGGAGAUCAGCUUUAUGGAACAAGUUAAACAUGAGAAAUUUACUCAGAUUCACGAGAAGAAGGUUAUGAGGUUGGCUAUGCUAUUGACUGGUAAUAGUGUUGAGGAAUAUUUGCAGCUGCAACAACUUGAUGUAUGUAUCAAUACAUGUUCCAUCCUCUUGCAAACAGUAGGAUUUCAAUUCACGAUUCUCAAUUUCAUAACUAGUAUCUUGUUCUCCAAGAUUGUGUUUGGAUCUUGGAUUUGUGGAUGAGUUUAUAGUAGGAAAAUAAAAUGAAAUGGUGGAAACAACAAUAAGAAAAGAUUAAUGAAGUAGAAGCAAUUUUUUUUUCUUCUCUCUCUACAAUCCCUUCACAAAUCCAAUAUCCAAACACUACCUAACAAGGUCGAGAUCCCAGCUUCUCCAGCCACUCUUCCAAUAGUAUCUGGUUGUAAAGAUCUCGGUUUCUCUGGUGGGAUAUCUCAGCUUCCUCAGAGAGAUAUAAGUUUAUGAUUGUAUGUUGUUAAAGUAACAAAAUUGUACUCCUAUGUGCUUGCAGUAAUGCAUAUCAGCACAUUAUUACAUAAAGUAAUCAUUUGGUUCUUAUAGGUGCAGAGAAAACAUGUGGAGAAAGAUAUUGCUCUGAGGCUUGUGGAAGCUGGCUUUAACUUGAAGGCUAGAGACUUAGAUUUUAGCAGUAGAGACUGGUUUGGGAACCUAAUACUUAACGUUUGAUUGCCUUUUUUUGGAUUGUGUUUCUUCUCUUUAUGCACAUUAUUGAUCUUAUAACUUUUGUGGUUCAGUAUAAGUAUGUAAGCUAUUAUGUCAUUGAAUGGCUAGUUAAUAUUUAGGGUACCAUUUUUUUUUACAGGUUCAUUUCCUAUGAUUCCCCUACCAAGUACAUAGAGACUCAAUUAGGUGAUUUAUUGACUUCUAAUGGAAACUUACUUUUGCUUCAUAAGUAAUUAUAAAGAAACGAAAUGGAAUGCUAGUUUCUGACAUGUUUUCUUACAGAAGAUAAGUUGUCUCAGUUACGGAGUCCUGGCUUGCCCAUGUUGCAGCAAACAAAUGUGUUUUACCCCCCAAAGGGCUUAUAGUGGGAAGACAGAGAAAGAGAAAUGUGAAGUGACAAAAUAAGUUAAUGACCUACAAUGUAGGACAAGAUGAGGUUAACUGCUCCUACUAGUAGUGAACCCAAACCUAAUAAAUGGCAACUGAAAAAUAGGCUGGGGGGGUGAAAUUGGUUGUUGAAAGACUCGCAAGAGCUGAAGAACUCCUUCCUGCGAAGCUAUUGAAGAGGUUUAAUCGAAGGUGCUAAUCGAUUCUCCCCUUCAAAGAUCACAUUCCGAUUUCGGUUUCCUAUUUUUUCAUUUUUUUUGGGCCAGAUUUUUGUACUCCUGCUUGGCAGCAAACGACCCCCUCUGCUCCAAUGACGACUCCUCUUCUCGUCAGAGGAUAUGUUGUCUCAGUCAUGGUGUCCUCGCUUGUCCAUGCUGCAGCAAACAGAUGUUUUUUCCCGCCAAAG